Molecule: long non-coding RNA, 1061 nt
Filed under: Homo sapiens (human)
Lineage: Eukaryota; Metazoa; Chordata; Mammalia; Primates; Hominidae
Description: HSALNT0277622
Source: RNAcentral
GUAGGGGUUCCGCUUGCCUGGGCCCUGGGCUAUGCAGAGGGAGACACGAACCAGGGGCUGGAGCUCUGUUUUCAGGCCACCUGACCAGCUGAGGAGAUCGUCAGAAAGGCUGGGACACCAACGGAUGACGCACAAAUGGAGGAAUUUUCAGGCACGGUCAAAGCUAAUGGGAGGGAAAAUACUGAAGUGUAAUAUUCCAGAGUUCUCUCUUGUCUGCUCUGACUCCUGCCAGCUGCCCUGCACCUAGAGGGACAGGAGGCUCUUCUCCGGGGCAUUGCAUGGCCGGGAGCCAAAUGAGCUGGCACCAGAACCUGGAACCCUCUCUUUGGGUCUGGAUUGGGACCCCUUUCCAGUACCAUUUUUUCUAGUGAACCACGAAGGGACGAUACCAGAAAACACCCUCAACCCAAAGGAAAUAGACUACAGCCCCAAUUGGCUGACUUAAGCUAUAGAAAAAAGAAAGGAACGAAAAGAGACAGUUUUUUUUGGAAAGCUAAGUCUUCCCUUUAUCGAGUCAAGAAACCCCCCCUUCUUGAGCUAUUUACAGCUUUUAACAAUUGAGUAAAGUACGCUCCGGUAAGGAUUAUAAAACAAAGUUUUGUCCAAAAACAAAAUUUGGAAUAUGUUUUUUUCUCUUUACCUGAUUUCUGCAGAAUUUGGAAACUAUUUGUGAGUGUUCUUAACUUACGGCAAUAUAGUUAUUUGCAUAAGUGCAGUAAGAAUCUGUUUUUCCUUCUUUCUUCUUUUUUUUUUUUUGUAACAGGACACAAUUGGAGAAACUGGUUAUUUAACAAGGGUUUGACUCGAGUGGCAUGCUUUCAAAUAUAAACAGACUUCUUUAAGGAAUUAAAGUUGACUAAUAGAGCCAAUAAAAGCCUCUUGGAAAAACUGGUCUUGUACCUUGUGUAUGAAGUCCCUGUAUAGGGUUCCUGACCUGUGGUAAGUAAAGAAUGUAACUUUCUGACAGGCCUGGGAGCCCCGAGUUAUCUCGGGACCUCAAGAGGAGAGGAAUUUAUCUAACUCAUACAGGUUCUUGCAGGCAUAGGUAAAUCCAUGGCUGG